GUAGUCUCGCACAGAUGCAUAUCAAUAAGCGGAGGAAAAGAAACUAACAAGGAUUCCCUUAGUAACGGCGAGUGAAGCGGGAAGAGCUCAAAUUUGAAAUCUUCAAGGUUUUACCUUGACGAAUUGUAGUUUAAAGAAGUGUUUUCUGUUGAAGUUUUGGUAAAAGUUCUUUGGAAUAGGACAUCAUAGAGGGUGAGAAUCCCGUAUUUGACCAUUAUUUUCAGCUGUGUGAUACACUUUCGAAAGAGUCGGAUUGUUUGGGAAUGCAGUCCAAAAUGGGUGGUAAAUUUCAUCUAAAGCUAAAUAUUGGCGAGAGACCGAUAGCGAACAAGUACCGUGAGGGAAAGAUGAAAAGAACUUUGAAAAGAGAGUUAAACAGUACGUGACAUUGUCAAAAGGGAAGCGUUUGACACCAGUGUUGUUUUCUCGAAAAUCAAUUAAAAAGAGUUAGAUUUUGUUGUGUAUUGACCUUAACAGCUUGCAUUUCAAUUUUCUUGCUUUUUUUAAUGCACUUUUCGUUUAACAAGUCAACAUCAGUUUCUUUUGUUGUAAAAAGGUCAUUGGAAGGUGGCUUUCUUUUCGGAGAAAGUGUUUAUAGCCUUUGACUCCUGCAAUCGGAGAGACUGAGGUCUGCAGCGUAGAUCCUUCGGGGUUAGAUACAUUUGUGCUAAGUUAUAGCUUUUUAUAGACAACUUGUUGACUAUGAUUAGUCUUGUAGCUUACUCGCUUAUGCUAUUUUACCUACGCUUAGGAUGUUGAAGAUGUAGCACAUCAU
Molecule: ribosomal RNA, 775 nt
Filed under: uncultured Neocallimastigales
Lineage: Eukaryota; Fungi; Neocallimastigomycota; Neocallimastigomycetes; Neocallimastigales
Description: partial large subunit ribosomal RNA
Rfam family: Eukaryotic large subunit ribosomal RNA
Source: RNAcentral